GUGUCAGCAGCCGCGGUAAUACAGGGGGUGCAAGCGUUGCUCGGAAUUACUGGGCGUAAAGCGCACGCAGGCGGACAGACAAGUCGGACGUGAAAUCCCUGGGCUCAACUCAGGAACUGCAUUCGAAACUGUCUAUCUGGAGUACGGGAGAGGUGAGUGGAAUUCCUGGUGUAGAGGUGAAAUUCGUAGAUAUCAGGAGGAACACCGGCGGCGAAAGCGGCUCACUGGCCCGAUACUGACGCUCAUGUGCGAGAGCGUGGGGAGCAAACAGGAUUAGAAACCCUGGUAGUCC
Molecule: ribosomal RNA, 292 nt
Filed under: uncultured bacterium
Lineage: Bacteria
Description: partial 16S ribosomal RNA
Rfam family: Bacterial small subunit ribosomal RNA
Source: RNAcentral